CUUGCAAACUAAAGAUGGCGACCGGCGCACGGGUGAGUAACACGUAUCCAACCUGCCGAUAACUCGGGGAUAGCCUUUCGAAAGAAAGAUUAAUAUCCGAUAGUAUAUUAAAACCGCAUGGUUUUACUAUUAAAGAAUUUCGGUCAUCGAUGGGGAUGCGUUCCAUUAGGUUGUUGGCGGGGUAACGGCCCACCAAGCCUUCGAUGGAUAGGGGUUCUGAGAGGAAGGUCCCCCACAUUGGAACUGAGACACGGUCCAA
This 259-nucleotide ribosomal RNA is filed under the name uncultured bacterium. Its description in RNAcentral is "partial 16S ribosomal RNA". It matches the Rfam family "Bacterial small subunit ribosomal RNA", at positions 74 to 334 of the family's 1533-position model. The record is from RNAcentral.